UGGUAAUUAGUUUAAGUUAAAACAAGUGAUUUCGACUCACUAGAUUAUGAACUACCAUAAUUACUAA
Molecule: transfer RNA, 67 nt
Filed under: Microsciurus flaviventer (pygmy squirrel)
Lineage: Eukaryota; Metazoa; Chordata; Mammalia; Rodentia; Sciuridae
Description: tRNA-Arg
Rfam family: tRNA
About the family: Transfer RNA (tRNA) molecules are approximately 80 nucleotides in length. Their secondary structure includes four short double-helical elements and three loops (D, anti-codon, and T loops). Further hydrogen bonds mediate the characteristic L-shaped molecular structure. tRNAs have two regions of fundamental functional importance: the anti-codon, which is responsible for specific mRNA codon recognition, and the 3' end, to which the tRNAs corresponding amino acid is attached (by aminoacyl-tRNA synthetases). tRNAs cope with the degeneracy of the genetic code in two manners: having more than one tRNA (with a specific anti-codon) for a particular amino acid; and 'wobble' base-pairing, i.e. permitting non-standard base-pairing at the 3rd anti-codon position.
Source: RNAcentral